CGUUAAUGGAACUGUUUUACUACUAGACGAUUCCUUCCUGGUUUCCACAUCUUCCCCCGCGCUGCACACCGUGUGAGUGCGUACAGUGAGCGUUGUGGACGCAGUGUGCGUUUGGAUCCACGGAUGGAGAAAUGCAGAUGAUCGGAGCCUCGACAACCGCUUACAUAAAUAAAUUGGCAGCGGACGCAGUCUGCUGCGCGAAUGGCACACAGGAUUCAGGUUGUUCCGUUUGUCAAGUUCCACGUACAUUUCUGCAGACAGAAGACCUUUCUCUCUCGUCUGGAUUCACGUCACGUAGACGGAAGCUGCCCAGGGCCGCUCGCUCCGGUAGCCCGGUUCUCCUACUCAAAGCCUCCGGGGGAAGGAGGUCUUGUGUGUUUGGCUGCGCGCAGCACGAGCAGCUUGGAGGAGCAUUUGCUCUUGGAGGUUAAUCUCAGAAAACGGACCAAAGUCAUUUGAAGCGUUUACAAUGGAUAAGGUGCGUAGAGGCAGUAAAGUGACCGUCCUGCACGGGAGGACUGCCUCCUUCUGGCCACCUGGAGGAACUGAA
Gasterosteus aculeatus aculeatus (three-spined stickleback) is the source of this 550-nucleotide long non-coding RNA. The record is from Ensembl. Lineage: Eukaryota; Metazoa; Chordata; Actinopteri; Perciformes; Gasterosteidae.